CGAUCGGGAGACUCCCGUUCGCUACGUAAACCCUAGCGGCUUGGAGGUAAAAGAGAAGAAGAAGAAGAAGAAGAAGAGAGGAGGGGGCGGCCACGGUAAAGGGGCUUCGAUCUCUUUUCGUUGACGAAUGAAGAAAGGGAUACAUCCACAACUGCAAUGGAUUUCAUAUGUGACUCAGACUGGUAGAUUGAUUAAUGUUAUGAUGACCAGAUUACACCGUGUCGGCCGUGUCUACCAGUUGAGACCUAGGCGUCAGAUGGCACCAACUCUGAGCCAGAUUGCCAAGUUCAACCUCAGAUAUGGUCUGAAGAAUGAGGAAAAUAGUGAAAAAUAACCUGUCCUUGUAUUCAGCAUGUGAGGUAUAUCGAUAGGCAUUGCAUUUGGAGAUUUGGACAAUUUAGUUUCAGACACUAGCUAAAACUCUGUUUUUGAGUUUCAAUGGUGUGUGAUAUAUGUUGCUCCCAAAAUUGCCUAUGAAUAAGAACUUUAUCCCGCACAUUAGGUGGGGUUCCGCAUCCCCUUA
This is a non-coding RNA of Musa acuminata subsp. malaccensis (wild Malaysian banana), 523 nucleotides long. NCBI's taxonomy places the organism in Eukaryota, Viridiplantae, Streptophyta, Magnoliopsida, Zingiberales, Musaceae. The record is from RefSeq and is a predicted model, not a curated record.